CAUGCGGAUUUUAGAAAGGUGAAAUAACUAUGAAAGAAAGCCCUAGGUCGGUUCUCAAAACGCUUCUGAUCGGCGCUGUAGCGAUAGUUGGUUUCGGCUUAGGG
This 104-nucleotide unclassified non-coding RNA is filed under the name uncultured fungus. Its description in RNAcentral is "sequence contains ITS1". Lineage: Eukaryota; Fungi. The record is from RNAcentral.